Molecule: small nucleolar RNA, 110 nt
Filed under: Jatropha curcas
Lineage: Eukaryota; Viridiplantae; Streptophyta; Magnoliopsida; Malpighiales; Euphorbiaceae
Description: Plant small nucleolar RNA R71
Rfam family: Plant small nucleolar RNA R71
About the family: R71 is a member of the C/D box family of snoRNAs containing the C (UGAUGA) and D (CUGA) box motifs. Multiple nearly identical copies of this snoRNA have been identified in Arabidopsis, and it is thought to function as a 2'-O-ribose methylation guide for 18S ribosomal RNA.
Source: Rfam by way of RNAcentral
AGGCCAUGGUGUGGGCAAACUCGUUGGAGUUCUUUAUAGCGAUCCCAUGCCUCAUAUAGGGAUUCAUUUUCAUGUUGGGUAAAUGAUGAGGUUAUUUCUUUAAUAAGCCU